UAUAUAUCUGCAAUUGCACAUUCUGUGAUUCCACACAUGGUGAAGGUUUUUCCACUGCCUGUUUGCCCAUAUGCAAAGAUAGUUGCUGCAGAAGAGGAAAUUCAAGCAUGCUUGAGCUUGAUGUGCAUCAACGUCAACAAGUAUUCCUCAUAGACAAGUCUUGUCGGAGAGUUAAACCCAAAAACUCUAUCUGCAUGUAAGAAAAUAUGCAAAGAUUCACAUCAGAAUUUUGCCGUCGGUAAUGGUAUUGUUAAUUCAACUGCAUGUCAUCUUCGUGUUCGAUCUAAAAAAAGUGCGGGAGUGAUUGCUUACUGAAGGCGUAGGCACUGGGAAGUUGCGAGUUCUUGAAUACGAUAGUGGUGUUG
Salvia splendens (bonfire salvia) is the source of this 365-nucleotide long non-coding RNA. RefSeq lists it as uncharacterized. The transcript has 3 exons. Lineage: Eukaryota; Viridiplantae; Streptophyta; Magnoliopsida; Lamiales; Lamiaceae. The record is from RefSeq and is a predicted model, not a curated record.